AGGAGUAUAGUAGUAAUGGUAAAAUAGGGGUCUCCAAAACCCAAGUUCCGAGUUCGAAUCUCGGUGCUCCUG
Molecule: transfer RNA, 72 nt
Filed under: Candidatus Riesia sp.
Lineage: Bacteria; Pseudomonadati; Pseudomonadota; Gammaproteobacteria; Enterobacterales; Enterobacteriaceae
Description: tRNA-Trp
Rfam family: tRNA
About the family: Transfer RNA (tRNA) molecules are approximately 80 nucleotides in length. Their secondary structure includes four short double-helical elements and three loops (D, anti-codon, and T loops).
Source: RNAcentral